RNAcentral lists this transfer RNA (29 nucleotides) under Nomadacris japonica. RNAcentral's name for it is "partial tRNA-Tyr". The record is from RNAcentral. Lineage: Eukaryota; Metazoa; Arthropoda; Insecta; Orthoptera; Acrididae.
CUACUUAUGAGAUAUUUUCUCUCUUACCA